RNAcentral lists this ribosomal RNA (509 nucleotides) under uncultured bacterium. Its description in RNAcentral is "bacterial SSU rRNA". It matches the Rfam family "Bacterial small subunit ribosomal RNA", at positions 1000 to 1509 of the family's 1533-position model. The record is from RNAcentral.
GCAGAGAUGCUUUGGUGCCUUCGGGAACUCUGAGACAGGUGCUGCAUGGCUGUCGUCAGCUCGUGUUGUGAAAUGUUGGGUUAAGUCCCGCAACGAGCGCAACCCUUAUCCUUUGUUGCCAGCGGUUAGGCCGGGAACUCAAAGGAGACUGCCAGUGAUAAACUGGAGGAAGGUGGGGAUGACGUCAAGUCAUCAUGGCCCUUACGAGUAGGGCUACACACGUGCUACAAUGGCGCAUACAAAGAGAAGCGACCUCGCGAGAGCAAGCGGACCUCAUAAAGUGCGUCGUAGUCCGGAUUGGAGUCUGCAACUCGACUCCAUGAAGUCGGAAUCGCUAGUAAUCGUGGAUCAGAAUGCCACGGUGAAUACGUUCCCGGGCCUUGUACACACCGCCCGUCACACCAUGGGAGUGGGUUGCAAAAGAAGUAGGUAGCUUAACCUUCGGGAGGGCGCUUACCACUUUGUGAUUCAUGACUGGGGUGAAGUCGUAACAAGGUAAGCGUAGUGCU